Molecule: ribosomal RNA, 1556 nt
Filed under: Escherichia coli
Lineage: Bacteria; Pseudomonadati; Pseudomonadota; Gammaproteobacteria; Enterobacterales; Enterobacteriaceae
Also listed under: 2 other names
Description: bacterial SSU rRNA
Rfam family: Bacterial small subunit ribosomal RNA
Source: RNAcentral
UUAAAUUGAAGAGUUUGAUCAUGGCUCAGAUUGAACGCUGGCGGCAGGCCUAACACAUGCAAGUCGAACGGUAACAGGAAGCAGCUUGCUGCUUCGCUGACGAGUGGCGGACGGGUGAGUAAUGUCUGGGAAACUGCCUGAUGGAGGGGGAUAACUACUGGAAACGGUAGCUAAUACCGCAUAACGUCGCAAGACCAAAGAGGGGGACCUUAGGGCCUCUUGCCAUCGGAUGUGCCCAGAUGGGAUUAGCUAGUAGGUGGGGUAACGGCUCACCUAGGCGACGAUCCCUAGCUGGUCUGAGAGGAUGACCAGCCACACUGGAACUGAGACACGGUCCAGACUCCUACGGGAGGCAGCAGUGGGGAAUAUUGCACAAUGGGCGCAAGCCUGAUGCAGCCAUGCCGCGUGUAUGAAGAAGGCCUUCGGGUUGUAAAGUACUUUCAGCGGGGAGGAAGGGAGUAAAGUUAAUACCUUUGCUCAUUGACGUUACCCGCAGAAGAAGCACCGGCUAACUCCGUGCCAGCAGCCGCGGUAAUACGGAGGGUGCAAGCGUUAAUCGGAAUUACUGGGCGUAAAGCGCACGCAGGCGGUUUGUUAAGUCAGAUGUGAAAUCCCCGGGCUCAACCUGGGAACUGCAUCUGAUACUGGCAAGCUUGAGUCUCGUAGAGGGGGGUAGAAUUCCAGGUGUAGCGGUGAAAUGCGUAGAGAUCUGGAGGAAUACCGGUGGCGAAGGCGGCCCCCUGGACGAAGACUGACGCUCAGGUGCGAAAGCGUGGGGAGCAAACAGGAUUAGAUACCCUGGUAGUCCACGCCGUAAACGAUGUCGACUUGGAGGUUGUGCCCUUGAGGCGUGGCUUCCGGAGCUAACGCGUUAAGUCGACCGCCUGGGGAGUACGGCCGCAAGGUUAAAACUCAAAUGAAUUGACGGGGGCCCGCACAAGCGGUGGAGCAUGUGGUUUAAUUCGAUGCAACGCGAAGAACCUUACCUGGUCUUGACAUCCACGGAAGUUUUCAGAGAUGAGAAUGUGCCUUCGGGAACCGUGAGACAGGUGCUGCAUGGCUGUCGUCAGCUCGUGUUGUGAAAUGUUGGGUUAAGUCCCGCAACGAGCGCAACCCUUAUCCUUUGUUGCCAGCGGUCCGGCCGGGAACUCAAAGGAGACUGCCAGUGAUAAACUGGAGGAAGGUGGGGAUGACGUCAAGUCAUCAUGGCCCUUACGACCAGGGCUACACACGUGCUACAAUGGCGCAUACAAAGAGAAGCGACCUCGCGAGAGCAAGCGGACCUCAUAAAGUGCGUCGUAGUCCGGAUUGGAGUCUGCAACUCGACUCCAUGAAGUCGGAAUCGCUAGUAAUCGUGGAUCAGAAUGCCACGGUGAAUACGUUCCCGGGCCUUGUACACACCGCCCGUCACACCAUGGGAGUGGGUUGCAAAAGAAGUAGGUAGCUUAACCUUCGGGAGGGCGCUUACCACUUUGUGAUUCAUGACUGGGGUGAAGUCGUAACAAGGUAACCGUAGGGGAACCUGCGGUUGGAUCACCUCCUUACCUUAAAGAAGC